CGUAGGUGGCAAGCGUUGUCCGGAAUUAUUGGGCGUAAAGCGCGCGCAGGCGGUCCUUUAAGUCUGAUGUGAAAGCCCACGGCUCAACCGUGGAGGGUCAUUGGAAACUGGGGGACUUGAGUACAGAAGAGAAGAGUGGAAUUCCACGUGUAGCGGUGAAAUGCGUAGAGAUGUGGAGGAACACCAGUGGCGAAGGCGACUCUUUGGUCUGUAACUGACGCUGAGGCGCGAAAGCGUGGGGAGCAAACAGGAUUAGAUACCCUGGUAGUCCACGCUGCAAACGAUGAGUGCUAAGUGUUAGAGGGUUUCCGCCCUUUAGUGCUGCAGCUAACGCAUUAAGCACUCCGCCUGGGGAGUACGGCCGCAAGGCUG
RNAcentral lists this ribosomal RNA (372 nucleotides) under uncultured organism. RNAcentral describes it as "bacterial SSU rRNA". It matches the Rfam family "Bacterial small subunit ribosomal RNA", at positions 526 to 896 of the family's 1533-position model. The record is from RNAcentral.